UAUUUGGUUGGUGCAAAAGUAAUUGCGGUUUUUACCGUUACUUUUAAUUGUAAAAACCUCAUUAACUUUUGCACCAACCUAAUA
This 84-nucleotide microRNA precursor is filed under the name Cercocebus atys (sooty mangabey). RNAcentral describes it as "miRNA (ENSCATG00000022359.1)". Lineage: Eukaryota; Metazoa; Chordata; Mammalia; Primates; Cercopithecidae. The record is from RNAcentral.